UACAUGCAAGUCGAGCGGACAGAAGGGAGCUUGCUCCCGGAUGUUAGCGGCGGACGGGUGAGUAACACGUGGGUAACCUGCCUGUAAGACUGGGAUAACUCCGGGAAACCGGAGCUAAUACCGGAUAGUUCCUUGAACCGCAUGGUUCAAGGAUGAAAGACGGUUUCGGCUGUCACUUACAGAUGGACCCGCGGCGCAUUAGCUAGUUGGUGAGGUAACGGCUCACCAAGGCGACGAUGCGUAGCCGACCUGAGAGGGUGAUCGGCCACACUGGGACUGAGACACGGCCCAGACUCCUACGGGAGGCAGCAGUAGGGAAUCUUCCGCAAUGGACGAAAGUCUGACGGAGCAACGCCGCGUGAGUGAUGAAGGUUUUCGGAUCGUAAAGCUCUGUUGUUAGGGAAGAACAAGUGCAAGAGUAACUGCUUGCACCUUGACGGUACCUAACCAGAAAGCCACGGCUAACUACGUGCCAGCAGCCGCGGUAAUACGUAGGUGGCAAGCGUUGUCCGGAAUUAUUGGGCGUAAAGGGCUCGCAGGCGGUUUCUUAAGUCUGAUGUGAAAGCCCCCGGCUCAACCGGGGAGGGUCAUUGGAAACUGGGAAACUUGAGUGCAGAAGAGGAGAGUGGAAUUCCACGUGUAGCGGUGAAAUGCGUAGAGAUGUGGAGGAACACCAGUGGCGAAGGCGACUCUCUGGUCUGUAACUGACGCUGAGGAGCGAAAGCGUGGGGAGCGAACAGGAUUAGAUACCCUGGUAGUCCACGCCGUAAACGAUGAGUGCUAAGUGUUAGGGGGUUUCCGCCCCUUAGUGCUGCAGCUAACGCAUUAAGCACUCCGCCUGGGGAGUACGGUCGCAAGACUGAAACUCAAAGGAAUUGAC
Molecule: ribosomal RNA, 880 nt
Filed under: Bacillus altitudinis
Lineage: Bacteria; Bacillati; Bacillota; Bacilli; Caryophanales; Bacillaceae
Description: bacterial SSU rRNA
Rfam family: Bacterial small subunit ribosomal RNA
Source: RNAcentral